Long non-coding RNA from Mesocricetus auratus (golden hamster), 4252 nucleotides. RefSeq lists it as uncharacterized. The transcript has 5 exons. Lineage: Eukaryota; Metazoa; Chordata; Mammalia; Rodentia; Cricetidae. The record is from RefSeq and is a predicted model, not a curated record.
UUCUCCACCUCGUGCCAUUGUGCUAACCUUUGUGCUAACGGGCAAAGUCCAUAAGGUAAAACCUCUUUGAGAUGAGCACAAACAAGUGAUGAGUGUGAGGGCGCAAAGAGACAAGAAGCCAUUCUAGAAGCUGCUUUGGUGACCGGAAGUGAUGAGAGUUGAGCGGCAACUUACCAGGUUGUAGCUGGUUGUGCUGAGUAGACUGAGCCUAUCAGAUUGACCAUAAAGACAUGGUAAGGCAGGAAAUAGGCUUCUCAGGAAAGUGUGACCUACUAGGAUGGAACUUGAGGUCAAGACAUCGCAAGCUGUGAUCACAGGGCUCUUGAAAGAUCAUCAGAACAUUCAGAGGCCCUUCAAGACCGGAGGAUCGAGUCUCAACAUGGGGAUGAGUGCUGGCGCAACUGGAGAGCUUUUGUUCUCAAAGGAAACUGUUGGUGUUGAAGAACAAAAGGAGCUUCUGUAGACAGGCUGGAAGGAUAAAAUAUUACCAAAUUGCCAUAUGAAGAUUCAAUGAGAAAGAAAAAUAAAGAGGCAAAAGUAUAGAAGCAAAGGAUUGUAGUGACAUGGUCCCUACCACUUCCCAGAAGCCAGAAGAGAUCUCUUCAUCCCUCAGGCAACCCAGUGCUGUGGAAUUUGUUCUUGGUAAAGAUGGUGAUAUUUGCUGGACUUCAACUGAUCAGUUGCCUCACUUACACUGGCACUGAGCAUUUAGGGGAGAAGGUCUCAGUAACUCUGCAGCCUCAGUAACUCUGAUGGGCCUCAAGGCAACUGGACUCAGCUCCAGGCUAGAGAACAGGCACAAAUGCGGUCCCGGCACAUCUUCUUCACCUUGGAAUACCAGGAUGACCAUGACACUGUCUUCCCAUGGCAGACAGAAGCACACGUGCAGGUUCUGGUCUGCAGCCAGAAAUGAGCGUGUCCAGCUAACAGCCUGUGUCUCAGGCCCUGCCAGGGGAUGAAUCAAUUAGUCGGAGAAACCAUGAUGCAAACGUCUGGGGUCACAUGGGAGGUUGUUUGCCUUCUUGAUAGAGAAAGCACACCAUAAAUAACAUCACACCUCAGGAAAUCAUUCCGGGAGGCCCAGAUGCUGGCGGGACUGCUGCCGGGACAGAGGGAAUCAUUGGCUCCUGUGUGUAUUUCCCCCAUCCUAGUCAAUGGAAGAUUUGUAGUAAAAUCAAAAUAUUUUAAAGGAGGACAGUGUGUGGUAACAGAGGCAUGUUUAGCCAUUUUUUUUUAGUACCAGAACCCAUGAUUUAUGACCUACAGUUACAGCCAACUUUAUUACAAAAAUGACUUCACCCAUAAUAACCUUAUUCAGGGCUCCUUGGAGAAUGAUGUAGUACCCCAAAGCAUUAUAAUCUAACAAAUAUUCACAAACAAUUCCCUCUGCUGUCCCUUCCCCCACUCAUUUGGAGCCAGGUGUCUGCCUUCACCUGCUGGGUGAACAAGGUCCCGGGCAAGGCUCUAUGGUCUUUCUGUGGAUUUGCCAGGCGGGAUGAUUAAAAUCACCCAGGACAGAGGCUGUCACUGAGCUUCCAGCCUCAUCUUCCCUGUCUUGUGCCCUGGGGCACAGCAAAGAGGACCCACUGACCUUCUCUCCUCCCUGCACAUUCCUGUCUCCCUCCCUCCCUCCCCCACUGAGAGCUCACAUACCCAGCAUCUGGGGGCAGCCUCAUGAAGUCCCCUCCUUUUUUAAUUGCCAUGGUAACAGACAGCUGAAUUAAAAUGGCCAGGGCUGGGUGUCCAAGCAAGGUCCCCUGGGUGUGCCAGGAUCUAGGAACUGGUCCUCCAUCUUAUUAAACUCAGGUGUCAGUUCCUAGCAGUUGUGUUAAAUUUACACCCUCCAAGUGGGUUAGCAGGAUUACAUGUCCAUUUGCAUUAAAACAGGUUUCUGUCAUUAAACUGCCAUACAAUAAGCUUCCUUGGGACAAAUUAAUGAGCUCUAAAUAUCAUCAAGUAGAAGUUCACUUCACCAAGACAGCCACCGUGGGGUUGAGGGGGUGACUGCUCACUGUCCUCACCCAAGAGAACCGUAAGUGCCAGCAAAAGAAGGGUCCCAUCCUGCUUCUCCAUGCAAGAUGAGUGUCAGGAUUUAGAGCACUCUGGGGAGCUGGGAGUUUCCCUCUCCCCAAGCCCUAGAGCUCAUUGCUUCCUAUUCCUUAUUCUGGGUGUGCUGUUAGCAUUGACCUUGUCUGAUGAAAUUCCCUGAACAACCAUGAGCUUCCAUGCCAAAGUGUCUCUGCUUCAUUCUUCUUAUCUUGUUUUCUGUCUGUCUUUGGGGACCAUCAAUCUGCAUGUAGUGUGGCCUGGGAACAGCAUGCAUGUAACACAGUACCAGAUGUAGCCACGGUGUGAGUCUCUGCUCUAAAAUGUCCUUCUGAGUAUUUGUCAGUUGACCAUUUGGCCCAUCAGUUGCAGGGCCUAUGCUCUGGGAUGCCGGUCCUUCUGGAAGCUCCUUUCCCAGCUAUCUAGAAGAUUUUUAAUGACAUUUAUUUGUAUGUGUGUGUAUGUGCACACAGGCACACACAGCCAUGUACCAUGGCACAUUUGUGGAGGUCAAAAGACAGCUUAGAGAAGUUGGUCCUCUAUGUGGAUCCUGGGACUCAAACUCAGCUUGCUGCACUUGGCAGAAGGCACCUUUGAUCACUGAGCCAUCUUGAAAUCCCCUAGGAAGGCCUUCUUUUAAGGCUGCAUCCACCCCAUUCACAAGCAUAGCCAGUGCUUGCCAUCACAAAUGCAUACUGUGUAUAAGUAGAAAUUAUCCACAAAUAACCAAUAAAUAAAGCCCCAAGUCUUCUCUUAGGUAGAAGAGGUAAGACAGGCUGCUAGAUGGACUUCCUGCAUCACACUAUGAUCUCAUUUCUGUGUAGCCUUAACAGGGGACAGUAAUGUAUGAUUGAGACACUGCUAUAUUUAGGAAUGACAAGAUGGGCAUUAUUAAUAGCUUAAUUGACAUUAAGGCAAUUACCCCUACCCUUAUUACAGUUUGUAGAAUUACUCAGAAAAUAUUGGCUGAGGCCUUUCUUUCCCUAGAGCUACCCAAGGAUAUAGCAUUUUAUUUCAUGCCAGAUCUCGGCUUUGACAUUAGAUACUUAGCCAUAGAAUGAUUCCAGUAAAUCAUUAUAAAUGCAUUAUAAUAAAGAUGUUAUGAGCUAUCAGAUAUUAACCCCCAACCCCUAAAGAGAGAUAAAUAGUUCAGUUGCAUGAUUCCCACUUUUGUUUCAUAAGAAAUAAGCUUUUGCAAAGAGCAACUGACUAAUGAAUUAUAAAAUGGUGUGUUGAGCUCAGAUAAUUAAACAAUGCAUUUUAGUGUCUAGUGCAAGAUGAACACUAAAUCAUACACAGAUAAAAAAGGGAGGGAGAUCUAAACCCAGGCCCAAUUCCUAGUCUCAAAUACAGUUAAGGUUGGUCUAUAAUGCAGAAGUGCUUAAGACCUUUUCUCACCAAAUAGAAGAUCAAGAUACAAAUGGAUAAACUCAGCCAAGAGACAGAACAAGAACUCUGGAGCUGUUAAUUUCAGAUAAGCCUACAAGGCUAUUUUAAAGGAGAUUUUACAGGGUGAUUACCUUUUUAUCCCCCAAAGUGCUAAUGGGCCAAAAAUGUAAGAACCUAGAAGUUUCUAAGUUUCCUCAUACUUUACAACUUUUCCUUUUGAUCUCUGAAGCAUAUUGGUGGAGAUUUCAGCAGAUGAGGGUAAAAACCAUGGUGUUGGUGGUUGUCCUGGCCUUGAAGCAUGCACUAAACACUGUUGUGGAGGUGGAAUGAUGAGGCCAGUAUGAGUUACAACUGCUAUGCUCCCAACAAGGACAUUUUUCUCUGGCUUGGCCACCCAGAUUGGUCUGUUAAAUAUGUGUUUUAGUCACCCCUCUUAGAAGUGAAGCUUCAUACUUCUAAGAACCUGAAGUUAGAAUGAAAAGUGCCUCAGAUUACACAGGGACAACGAUUGACCACCCAUGGUAGUGGACAGGCUUCUGUAGAAUCCUGGUCCAUCGUGAAUACUCCGCAUUUCCUGUGCUCUAGCUAUUCUGGACACUGCAACCUGAUUCUCCUUUCACAUCCCAACCACUGGUCUACCCAUCGCAUCACGUAGACAUAGUUGGGCCAUAUGAAGGCCUAUUCAUGCAAAAUAAUUAUUAUAAAGUAAGUCCACUACUAUAUGCUAUCUCCUUUUAUUUUAUUAACUCAUUUUUUCUUAUUCUAUGUCUUUCCUUACACUUUCUCUUCAUGUCUAAGCCAUACCCCACACACACUG